GAGUUUGAUCCUGGCUCAGAUUGAACGCUGGCGGCAGGCCUAACACAUGCAAGUCGAACGGUAACAGAAAGCAGCUUGCUGCUUUGCUGACGAGUGGCGGACGGGUGAGUAAUGUCUGGGAAACUGCCUGAUGGAGGGGGAUAACUACUGGAAACGGUAGCUAAUACCGCAUAACGUCGCAAGACCAAAGAGGGGGACCUUCGGGCCUCUUGCCAUCGGAUGUGCCCAGAUGGGAUUAGCUUGUUGGUGGGGUAACGGCUCACCAAGGCGACGAUCUCUAGCUGGUCUGAGAGGAUGACCAGCCACACUGGAACUGAGACACGGUCCAGACUCCUACGGGAGGCAGCAGUGGGGAAUAUUGCACAAUGGGCGCAAGCCUGAUGCAGCCAUGCCGCGUGUAUGAAGAAGGCCUUCGGGUUGUAAAGUACUUUCAGCGGGGAGGAAGGGAGUAAAGUUAAUACCUUUGCUCAUUGACGUUACCCGCAGAAGAAGCACCG
Molecule: ribosomal RNA, 497 nt
Filed under: uncultured bacterium
Lineage: Bacteria
Description: bacterial SSU rRNA
Rfam family: Bacterial small subunit ribosomal RNA
Source: RNAcentral